UCAGAGGGCCGGGCGGCCGCCGGUGGAGCGAUCCACGGGAGGAAAGUCCGGGCUCCGCAGAGCAACGGUGCCGGGUAACGCCCGGCGGCUCCUCGCAGGAGGAGUCAGGGACAGUGCCACAGAAAGCAGACCGCCACCGCUUCGGCGGGGCAAGGGCGAAAGGGUGCGGCAAGAGCGCACCGCGUUGCGGGUAACCGCAGCGGCACGGUAAACCCCACCGGGAGCAAGACCGAAUAGGGACGGCAUAUGGGCCUGCUCGGCUCCGUCGUCCGGGUUGGUUGCUUGAGGCCGCGGGCGACCGUGGCCCUAGAGGAAUGGUCGCCCAUCCGUGGCAACACGGUGGACAGAACCCGGCUUACAGGCCCUCUGGCGCU
Molecule: RNase P RNA, 374 nt
Filed under: Sphingomonadales bacterium
Lineage: Bacteria; Pseudomonadati; Pseudomonadota; Alphaproteobacteria; Sphingomonadales
Description: RNase P RNA component class A
Rfam family: Bacterial RNase P class A
About the family: Ribonuclease P (RNase P) is a ubiquitous endoribonuclease, found in archaea, bacteria and eukarya as well as chloroplasts and mitochondria. Its best characterised activity is the generation of mature 5'-ends of tRNAs by cleaving the 5'-leader elements of precursor-tRNAs.
Source: RNAcentral